This 918-nucleotide ribosomal RNA is filed under the name uncultured Bacillota bacterium. RNAcentral's name for it is "bacterial SSU rRNA". It matches the Rfam family "Bacterial small subunit ribosomal RNA", at positions 1 to 917 of the family's 1533-position model. Lineage: Bacteria; Bacillati; Bacillota. The record is from RNAcentral.
UGGAUCCAGACUUGAUUAUGGCUCAGGACGAACGCUGGCGGCGUGCCUAACACAUGCAAGUCGAGCGGGGAUCGCCAGAGGAAGCCUUCGGGUGGAAUUGGGUGAUUCUAGCGGCGGACGGGUGAGUAACGCGUGAGCAAUCUGCCUUUCACAGGGGGAUAACACACCGAAAGGUGUACUAAUACCGCAUGAGACCACAGUGGGGACAUCCCAUAGGGGUCAAAGGAGAAAUCCGGUGAAAGAUGAGCUCGCGUCUGAUUAGCUGGUUGGUGAGGUAACGGCCCACCAAGGCGACGAUCAGUAGCCGACCUGAGAGGGUGAUCGGCCACAUUGGAACUGAGAGACGGUCCAAACUCCUACGGGAGGCAGCAGUGGGGAAUAUUGGGCAAUGGGGGAAACCCUGACCCAGCAACGCCGCGUGAAGGAAGAAGGUUUUCGGAUCGUAAACUUCUAUCCUUGGUGAAAAUGAUGAUGGUAGCCAAGAAGGAAGCCCCGGCUAACUACGUGCCAGCAGCCGCGGUAAUACGUAGGGGGCAAGCGUUGUCCGGAAUGAUUGGGCGUAAAGGGCGCGUAGGCGGCCUUUUAAGUCUGAAGUGAAAGUCCUGCUUUUAAGGUGGGAACUGCUUUGGAUACUGGAAGGCUUGAGUGCAGGAGAGGUAAGCGGAAUUCCCGGUGUAGCGGUGAAAUGCGUAGAGAUCGGGAGGAACACCAGUGGCGAAGGCGGCUUACUGGACUGUUACUGACGCUGAGGCGCGAAAGUGUGGGGAGCAAACAGGAUUAGACACCCUGGUAGUCCACACUGUAAACGAUGAAUGCUAGGUGUAGGGGGUAUCGACCCCUUCUGUGCCGGAGUCAACACAAUAAGCAUUCCGCCUGGGGAGUACGGCCGCAAGGUUGCAACUCAAAGGAAGUGACGGA